CCUACGGGUGGCAGCAGUGAGGAAUAUUGGUCAAUGGGCGGAAGCCUGAACCAGCCAAGUAGCGUGCGGGAUGAAGGCCCUACGGGUCGUAAACCGCUUUUGCACGGGGAUAACACCCUCCACUUGUGGAGGUCUUCAGGUACCGUGCGAAUAAGGGCCGGCUAAUUCCGUGCCAGCAGCCGCGGUAAUACGGAAGGCCCGAGCGUUAUCCGGAUUCAUUGGGCGUAAAGGGCGCGUAGGCGGGCGUUCAAGUCAGCGGUAAACUGGCGCGGCUCAACCGCGCCCCGCAGUUGAAACUGGACGCCUUGAGUUCACAACAGGCAGGCGGAAUUCGUGGUGUAGCGGUGAAAUGCAUAGAUAUCACGAGGAACCCCGAUUGCGAAGGCAGCCUGCCGGGGUGCGACUGACGCUGAGGCUCGAAGGUGCGGGUAUCAAACAGGAUUAGAUACCCGGGUAGUC
Molecule: ribosomal RNA, 459 nt
Filed under: uncultured bacterium
Lineage: Bacteria
Description: partial 16S ribosomal RNA
Rfam family: Bacterial small subunit ribosomal RNA
Source: RNAcentral